GACGAACGCUGGCGGCGUGCUUAACACAUGCGAGUCGAACGGAAAGGCCCUGCUUUUGUGGGGUGCUCGAGUGGCGAACGGGUGAGUAACACGUGAGUAACCUGCCCUUGACUUUGGGAUAACUUCAGGAAACUGGGGCUAAUACCGGAUAGGAGCUCCUGCUGCAUGGUGGGGGUUGGAAAGUUUCGGCGGUUGGGGAUGGACUCGCGGCUUAUCAGCUUGUUGGUGGGGUAGUGGCUUACCAAGGCUUUGACGGGUAGCCGGCCUGAGAGGGUGACCGGCCACAUUGGGACUGAGAUACGGCCCAGACUCCUACGGGAGGCAGCAGUGGGGAAUAUUACACAAUGGGCGGAAGCCGGAUGCAGCAACGCCGCGUGCGGGAUGACGGCCUUCGGGUUGUAAACCGCUUUCGCCUGUGACGAAGCGUGAGGGACGGUAAUGGGUAAAGAAGCACCGGCUAACUACGU
This 467-nucleotide ribosomal RNA is filed under the name uncultured bacterium. Its description in RNAcentral is "partial 16S ribosomal RNA". It matches the Rfam family "Bacterial small subunit ribosomal RNA", at positions 28 to 506 of the family's 1533-position model. The record is from RNAcentral.